GGAUGGGCCCGCGGCGCAUUAGCUAGUUGGUAGGGUAAAGGCUUACCAAGGCAAUGAUGCGUAGCCGAACUGAGAGGUUGAUCGGCCACAUUGGGACUGAGACACGGCCCAAACUCCUACGGGAGGCAGCAGUAGGGAAUCUUCCACAAUGGGCGAAAGCCUGAUGGAGCAACGCCGCGUGGGUGAAGAAGGUCUUCGGAUCGUAAAACCCUGUUGUUAGAGAAGAAAGUGCGUGAGAGUAACUGUUCACGUUUCGACGGUAUCUAACCAGAAAGCCACGGCUAACUACGUGCCAGCAGCCGCGGUAAUACGUAGGUGGCAAGCGUUAUCCGGAUUUAUUGGGCGUAAAGGGAACGCAGGCGGUCUUUUAAGUCUGAUGUGAAAGCCUUCGGCUUAACCGGAGUAGUGCAUUGGAAACUGGGAGACUUGAGUGCAGAAGAGGAGAGUGGAACUCCAUGUGUAGCGGUGAAAUGCGUAGAUAUAUGGAAGAACACCAGUGGCGAAAGCGGCUCUCUGGUCUGUAACUGACGCUGAGGUUCGAAAGCGUGGGUAGCAAACAGGAUUAGAUACCCUGGUAGUCCACGCCGU
Molecule: ribosomal RNA, 588 nt
Filed under: uncultured bacterium
Lineage: Bacteria
Description: bacterial SSU rRNA
Rfam family: Bacterial small subunit ribosomal RNA
Source: RNAcentral